AUUGAACGCUGGCGGCAUGCUUUACACAUGCAAGUCGAACGGCAGCGCGGGCUUCGGCCUGGCGGCAAGUGGCGAACGGGUGAGUAAUGCAUCGGAACGUGCCCAGUAGUGGGGGAUAGCCCGGCGAAAGCCGGAUUAAUACCGCAUACGACCUGAGGGUGAAAGCGGGGGACCGAAAGGCCUCGCGCUAUUGGAGCGGCCGAUGUCGGAUUAGCUAGUUGGUGGGGUAAAGGCUUACCAAGGCGACGAUCCGUAGCUGGUCUGAGAGGACGACCAGCCACACUGGGACUGAGACACGGCCCAGACUCCUACGGGAGGCAGCAGUGGGGAAUUUUGGACAAUGGGGGCAAGCCUGAUCCAGCCAUGCCGCGUGCGGGAAGAAGGCCUUCGGGUUGUAAAACGCUUUUGUUCGGGAAGAAAUCCUCUGGGCUAAUACCCCGGGGGGAUGACGGUACCGGAAGAAUAAGCACCGGCUAACUACGUG
RNAcentral lists this ribosomal RNA (484 nucleotides) under uncultured bacterium. Its description in RNAcentral is "partial 16S ribosomal RNA". It matches the Rfam family "Bacterial small subunit ribosomal RNA", at positions 29 to 507 of the family's 1533-position model. The record is from RNAcentral.